GCCCCUUAUGACCUGGGCUACACACGUACUACAAUGGCCGGUACAACGGGAAGCGAAGGAGCGAUCUGGAGCCAAUCCUAGAAAAGCCGGUCUCAGUUCGGAUUGUAGGCUGCAACUCGCCUACAUGAAGUCGGAAUUGCUAGUAAUCGCGGAUCAGCAUGCCGCGGUGAAUACGUUCCCGGGUCUUGUACACACCGCCCGUCACACCACGAGAGUUUACAACACCCGAAGUCGGUGAGGUAACCGCAAGGAGCCAGCCGCCGAAGGUGGGGUAGAUGAUUGGGGUGAAGUCGUAACAAGGUAGCCGUAUCGGAAGGUGCGGCUGGAUCACCUCCUUUCUAUGGAGA
This 347-nucleotide ribosomal RNA is filed under the name Paenibacillus sp. ICGEB2008. Its description in RNAcentral is "bacterial SSU rRNA". It matches the Rfam family "Bacterial small subunit ribosomal RNA", at positions 1197 to 1533 of the family's 1533-position model. Lineage: Bacteria; Bacillati; Bacillota; Bacilli; Caryophanales; Paenibacillaceae. The record is from RNAcentral.